This 67-nucleotide transfer RNA is filed under the name Yunnanilus niger. Its description in RNAcentral is "tRNA-Cys". It matches the Rfam family "tRNA". Rfam says of the family: Transfer RNA (tRNA) molecules are approximately 80 nucleotides in length. Their secondary structure includes four short double-helical elements and three loops (D, anti-codon, and T loops). The record is from RNAcentral. Lineage: Eukaryota; Metazoa; Chordata; Actinopteri; Cypriniformes; Nemacheilidae.
AAGCCCCGUGGUGGAGUACACAUUAGAUUGCAAAUCUCAAGACGCAGAUUAACGUCUGCCGGGGCUU